This is an unclassified non-coding RNA of Dipodomys ordii (Ord's kangaroo rat), 152 nucleotides long. The record is from Ensembl. Lineage: Eukaryota; Metazoa; Chordata; Mammalia; Rodentia; Heteromyidae.
UGUCCUUUGGGUUCAUCUCAUCUGGCUGAGAGAUUAUUUCAUUCCUUUGCUGCUGCUUCUAACACUACCUUUGGAUUUCCCCCCCACCUUUUUUUAUGCAAAGAAUUCUACCCCUAAAUGAGACUGAAGAGGGAGGAAACAUUAGUCAUGUG